This 600-nucleotide ribosomal RNA is filed under the name Triticum aestivum (bread wheat). Its description in RNAcentral is "partial small subunit ribosomal RNA". Lineage: Eukaryota; Viridiplantae; Streptophyta; Magnoliopsida; Poales; Poaceae. The record is from RNAcentral.
AUGGGACUAACUUUCCUACAUGGAAGGAGCAGAUUUCCAUUAACCUUGGGGUCAUGGAUCUUGACUACGCACUUAGGGAGAAGGCUCCAGUUCCCUUUGUCCUUGUCCUCUGAUGAUGAAAACCAUGCUGAGAAAACUAAGGUUUAUGAGGCUAACAAGGAGAAGUGGGAGCGCUCCAAUCGAUUGUCCCUCAUGAUCAUGAAAAGCUUAAUUACUCUUGGGAUUAUGGGAGCAAUCCCCGAUUCCGAAUGUGCUAAGACUUAUCUGGCAUCGGUGGAGGAACAAUUUAAAGGCUCCACAAAAGUCUAUGCCAGCACACUGAUCAUGAAAAUGCUCACCACUAAAUAUGAUGGUAAAAGUGGCGUGAGAGAACAUAUCAUGACUAUGAAUGAUAUGGCCGCAAAAUUAAAGGGCAUGGACAUGGAGAUUUCUGAGGGCUUCCUGGUUCAUUUCAUUAUGACUUCUCUCCCUAUGGAGUAUGGUCCCUUCAAGAUUAAUUAUAAUCACUGUUCAAGAACUCGGUCGAGUUACCAUUUAAAUGCCCAUUUAAUCGCUACUCAGUGCCUAACUGAGGCGAGUAGCACGUACUCGUUUCAUUAA